AGCAAUAGCUACUUGCACCAACAAAUAGUUGAUGCAAGAUCGACUCUGUCGAAUAAAAUUCUAGGUAGAAUUAUGAUAAUGACAUUAUCUGCCUAUGUGUCUUGACCAAAUUACGUGCCAGCUGUCGCGGUAAUACGUAGAAGACUAGUGUUAUUCAUCUUUAAUAGGUUUAAAGGGUACCUAGACGGUAAAUCAAGCCUUGAGGAGGGACUAAUUUACUAGAGUUACUUGUGAGGGGGUAUUAAAGUACUGCUGGUGUAGAGAUGAAAUUCUGUGAUACCUCUUUUCCUAAAGAAAAAUAAUGGCACAGGUAUAGGCGAAAGCAUCCCCUUAUGUGAUAACUGACGUUGAGGGACGAAGGCUUUGUGUAGCGAACAGGAUUAGA
RNAcentral lists this ribosomal RNA (385 nucleotides) under Haematomma ochroleucum. RNAcentral's name for it is "SSU rRNA". It matches the Rfam family "Bacterial small subunit ribosomal RNA", at positions 374 to 782 of the family's 1533-position model. Lineage: Eukaryota; Fungi; Ascomycota; Lecanoromycetes; Lecanorales; Haematommataceae. The record is from RNAcentral.